UACGUAGGGUGCAAGCGUUGUCCGGAAUUAUUGGGCGUAAAGAGCUCGUAGGCGGUCUGUCGCGUCGGAUGUGAAAAUCCAGGGCUCAACCCUGGACCUGCAUUCGAUACGGGCAGACUAGAGUUCGGCAGGGGAGACUGGAAUUCCUGGUGUAGCGGUGAAAUGCGCAGAUAUCAGGAGGAACACCGGUGGCGAAGGCGGGUCUCUGGGCCGAUACUGACGCUGGGGAGCGAAAGCGUGGGGAGCAAACAGG
RNAcentral lists this ribosomal RNA (253 nucleotides) under uncultured bacterium. RNAcentral describes it as "partial 16S ribosomal RNA". It matches the Rfam family "Bacterial small subunit ribosomal RNA", at positions 524 to 776 of the family's 1533-position model. The record is from RNAcentral.